This 286-nucleotide ribosomal RNA is filed under the name uncultured bacterium. RNAcentral describes it as "partial 16S ribosomal RNA". It matches the Rfam family "Bacterial small subunit ribosomal RNA", at positions 67 to 354 of the family's 1533-position model. The record is from RNAcentral.
CGUCAACUUACCGUACUGGCGACCGGCCGGCACGGGUGGAGUAACAACGUAUCCAACCUACGCUCCAUACUCGGGGAUAGCCUUUCGAAAGAAAGAUUAAUACCCGAUGUUAUAGUCCUACCGCAUGAUGGGAUUAUUAAAGAAUUUCGGUAUGGGAUGGGGAUGCGUUCCAUUAGUUAGUUGGCGGGGUAACGGCCCACCAAGACAACGAUGGAUAGGGGUUCUGAGAGGAAGGUCCCCCACAUUGGAACUGAGACACGGUCCAAACUCCUACGGAAGGCAGCAG